UGCCGAGAUCGCGCCACUGCACUCCAGUCUUGGCAACAGAGUCAGACUCUCUCUCUUUUUUUUUUUUUUGAGAUGGAGUCUCCCUCUGUCGCCCAGGCUGGAUUCCAGUGGCCUGAUCUCGGCUCACCGCAAGCUCCGCCUACCGGGUUCACGCCAUUCUCCUGCCUCAGCCACUGGAGUAGUUGGGACUACAGGCGCCUGCCAUCACACCCGGCUAAUUUUUUGUAUUUUUAGUAGAGACGGGGUUUCACCGUGUUAGCCAGGAUGGUCUCGAUCUCCUGACCUCGUGAUCAGCCCGCCUCGGCCUACCAAAGUGCCGGGAUUUAAGGCGUGAGCCACAGCGCCCGGCCCCGAGAGUGAAUAUCUUUUAACAGUGUUUUUCCUGAUCUUUUCCAACAUCUUCAUUGUGGUUCUGUCCUUUAUUUUUUGGUUAAAUCCAGAGGUUUACUUCUGCCUGUAUCUUUCCAAACUAUGAAUCUGUUCACAAUCACUCUCCCAUUUAAACCCUUCAGCAGCCCCAGUACCUUCGUAAUAAGGUCUCCUUAGCUUGGUAUCCAGAACACUUCAAUACUGGGCUUUGACCCCUGUUCUCCUUCCCCCACCUCUGUUUAGGUGCUUCACUGAGCUGCACCGAACAGCUCUUGGCCCCUUGAAAUCUCUGCAGUCUCCUUGUCUCCCUCUGCUGGAAUAUUCUUCUCUCACUUCAUCUGAUCAUUGCCUUCAAAACUCAGCUCAUUUUCUUAUUUCCUUGCCCUUUUCAUGUCCCUUGUUUUCCUCCGAUUAAAUUAAUGUUCCAAACUCAAAAGAAAAACAACUCAGCUCAGGCAUCACCUUGCCUGGAAGGCUUCCCUAGUCCUCCUGCCUCCCGCAGACCCUCUGGCACCCUGUGCAUUUGGGACUUGGCACACUAUGUCUCGUCUGCGGCCUCCACUGGACAAUGAGACCUGUUCUUGGGGAAGAUCCCGACUAAGCCAUUUUCCAGUGGCACCUCUUCCACCAUGAGUUCCUGAGGCAGUCCGAUGGGGCUACUUUAUUCCAGAACAAUCACAGUGAGACCUCUUCUCCCAAUAAAUGCCCCUUUUCUCUCCUUAA
Long non-coding RNA from Pan troglodytes (chimpanzee), 1092 nucleotides. RefSeq lists it as uncharacterized. The transcript is spliced from 2 exons. The record is from RefSeq and is a predicted model, not a curated record. NCBI's taxonomy places the organism in Eukaryota, Metazoa, Chordata, Mammalia, Primates, Hominidae.